Molecule: ribosomal RNA, 374 nt
Filed under: uncultured Latescibacterota bacterium
Lineage: Bacteria; Pseudomonadati; Candidatus Latescibacterota
Description: bacterial SSU rRNA
Rfam family: Bacterial small subunit ribosomal RNA
Source: RNAcentral
GACGGUUCCUCUUCGGAGGCACCUGCACAGGUGCUGCAUGGCUGUCGUCAGCUCGUGUCGUGAGAUGUUGGUUAAGUCCCGCAACGAGCGCAACCCUUAUCCCUAGUUGCCAUCAGGUAAAGCUGGGAACUCUGGGGAGACUGCCGGUGAUAAACCGGAGGAAGGCGGGGAUGACGUCAAGUCCUCAUGGCCCUUACAUCCCGGGCUACACACGUGCUACAAUGGCAGGUACAGAGGGCUGCGAAGCCGCGAGGUGGAGCGAAUCCCAGAAAACCUGUCUCAGUCCGGAUUGAAGUCUGCAACUCGACUUCAUGAAGGCGGAAUCGCUAGUAACCGCGAAUCAGCAGGUCGCGGUGAAUACGUUCCCGGGCCUU